Molecule: small nuclear RNA, 88 nt
Filed under: Sciurus vulgaris (Eurasian red squirrel)
Lineage: Eukaryota; Metazoa; Chordata; Mammalia; Rodentia; Sciuridae
Description: U2 spliceosomal RNA (ENSSVLG00005024845.1)
Rfam family: U2 spliceosomal RNA
About the family: U2 is a small nuclear RNA (snRNA) component of the spliceosome (involved in pre-mRNA splicing). Complementary binding between U2 snRNA (in an area lying towards the 5' end but 3' to hairpin I) and the branchpoint sequence (BPS) of the intron results the bulging out of an unpaired adenosine, on the BPS, which initiates a nucleophilic attack at the intronic 5' splice site, thus starting the first of two transesterification reactions that mediate splicing.
Source: Rfam by way of RNAcentral
AUCACGUCUCAGCCUUUUGGCUGAGAUCCAGUGUAGUAUCUGUUCUUCGCAGUUCAACAUGUUACCUCAUUUAUUCUCCCAAACAUGC